RNAcentral lists this microRNA (20 nucleotides) under Drosophila pseudoobscura pseudoobscura. RNAcentral's name for it is "mir-2525-RA". The record is from RNAcentral. Lineage: Eukaryota; Metazoa; Arthropoda; Insecta; Diptera; Drosophilidae.
CUGGCGGCAACUGCGACAGC